This 432-nucleotide ribosomal RNA is filed under the name Bacillus subtilis. Its description in RNAcentral is "bacterial SSU rRNA". It matches the Rfam family "Bacterial small subunit ribosomal RNA", at positions 552 to 982 of the family's 1533-position model. The record is from RNAcentral. Lineage: Bacteria; Bacillati; Bacillota; Bacilli; Caryophanales; Bacillaceae.
UAUUGGGCGUAAAGGGCUCGCAGGCGGUUUCUUAAGUCUGAUGUGAAAGCCCCCGGCUCAACCGGGGAGGGUCAUUGGAAACUGGGGAACUUGAGUGCAGAAGAGGAGAGUGGAAUUCCACGUGUAGCGGUGAAAUGCGUAGAGAUGUGGAGGAACACCAGUGGCGAAGGCGACUCUCUGGUCUGUAACUGACGCUGAGGAGCGAAAGCGUGGGGAGCGAACAGGAUUAGAUACCCUGGUAGUCCACGCCGUAAACGAUGAGUGCUAAGUGUUAGGGGGUUUCCGCCCCUUAGUGCUGCAGCUAACGCAUUAAGCACUCCGCCUGGGGAGUACGGUCGCAAGACUGAAACUCAAAGGAAUUGACGGGGGCCCGCACAAGCGGUGGAGCAUGUGGUUUAAUUCGAAGCAACGCGAAGAACCUUACCAGGUCUU